AAAGUUUUUUUUUUUUUUUUUUUUUUUUUUUUUUUUUUGUUGCCUUUC
Molecule: non-coding RNA, 48 nt
Filed under: Prorocentrum micans
Lineage: Eukaryota; Dinophyceae; Prorocentrales; Prorocentraceae
Source: RNAcentral